RNAcentral lists this ribosomal RNA (520 nucleotides) under uncultured Paraglomus. RNAcentral describes it as "SSU rRNA". It matches the Rfam family "Eukaryotic small subunit ribosomal RNA", at positions 569 to 1088 of the family's 1831-position model. The record is from RNAcentral. Lineage: Eukaryota; Fungi; Glomeromycota; Glomeromycetes; Paraglomerales; Paraglomeraceae.
AGCAGCCGCGGUAAUUCCAGCUCCAAUAGCGUAUAUUAAAGUUGUUGCAGUUAAAAAGCUCGUAGUUGAACUCCAGGCCUGGCUGGACGGUCCGCCUUCUGGGUGAGUACUGUCUGUGGUCGGGUCCUACCUUCUGGCGAAGCGUCAUGGCCUUCACCGGCCGUGGCGGGGAACCAGGACUUUUACUGUGAAAAAAUUGAGUGUUCAAAGCAGGCACGCGCUUGAAUACAUUAGCAUGGAAUAAUGGAAUAGGACAGUGGUUCUAUUUGUGGUUUCUAGGACCGUUGUAAUGAUUAAUAGGGAUAGUUGGGGGCAUUAGUAUUCAAUUGUCAGAGGUGAAAUUCUUGGAUUUAUGAAGACUAACUACUGCGAAAGCAUUUGCCAAGGAUGUUUUCAUUAAUCAAGAACGAAAGUUAGGGAUCGAAGACGAUCAGAUACCGUCGUAGUCUUAACCAUAAACUAUGACCGACUAGGAACGUCGGACGUAGUGUUGAACAAAGUUCGACGCCGACGCGGGCCU